GACGAACCGUGCAAACGUUGCUCGGAAUCACUGGGCGUAAAGGGUGCGUAGGCGGGUCUUUAAGUCAGGGGUGAAAUCCUGGAGCUCAACUCCAGAACUGCCUUUGAUACUGAGGAUCUUGAGUUCGGGAGAGGUGAGUGGAACUGCGAGUGUAGAGGUGAAAUUCGUAGAUAUUCGCAAGAACACCAGUGGCGAAGGCGGCUCACUGGCCCGAUACUGACGCUGAGGCACGAAAGCGUGGGGAGCAAACAGG
This 253-nucleotide ribosomal RNA is filed under the name uncultured bacterium. Its description in RNAcentral is "partial 16S ribosomal RNA". It matches the Rfam family "Bacterial small subunit ribosomal RNA", at positions 524 to 776 of the family's 1533-position model. The record is from RNAcentral.